GCUGUGGUGGCAUAGUCAUUAAGCACUCAGCUGUUAACUGAAAGGUUGUUGGUUUGAACCCACCAGCAGCU
RNAcentral lists this transfer RNA (71 nucleotides) under Loxodonta africana (African savanna elephant). It matches the Rfam family "tRNA". From Rfam's summary of the family: Transfer RNA (tRNA) molecules are approximately 80 nucleotides in length. Their secondary structure includes four short double-helical elements and three loops (D, anti-codon, and T loops). Lineage: Eukaryota; Metazoa; Chordata; Mammalia; Proboscidea; Elephantidae. The record is from Rfam by way of RNAcentral.